UGAAACUUGAUGUGCUAUCCAGACACAUAUGAUCAGAAAAGAUCUAGAGUGCAAAGAGCUGCCUGAGGAGCAAAAUGUGGUUUUAAUGUUGUGGAAAGAUCACUUGCAAGUAUAUAAGACUGUAUAAAGAAGAGGACUGUACGCAAGUGGGGUGAAAAAAAAGGAUACGCGAAUGUGCAUAUGACUGAAUAGGGAGGAAGGUCAGGGCUAGAAAGGAGGCUACAUAAAAAGGGGCAAUGGAGAGUGCACAGGAAAGACACAGGAAGGUCAAGUCGAGCAAGGUAGAAACAGGAGUAGCUAGAGCCAUUGGGAAUCCAUUUUGAAACAAGAAGGAGUUUUGAAAGGGAAUAGGAAAGUAAGUGUCUUGAAGUAAAAGAUAAAUAUGGAUGGAGAAGGAAGAAAUUCUGGAUGAUAGAGAUGAUAAAAAUAUUUAUUAAGAAAUGAAGUCAGGUUCAGUGUAUGAAAUGGAAAGGAAUUUUUCAGAAUUUUAAGAAAGGGGAAGUUCCUCUUGGAAAAGAUAUAGCAACCAUCAGGGAAUGACCUUUUCAUUUCAGAAGAAGUGGGUGAGGAAGGUGGUGUGAGCAUCAGGUAUAUUCUGGACCAUUUCAAGUGCUGGUGAGAAGAAAGGAACUCUUUGCCUGAACUGGGCUUGGUUUUCCAAGUGCUGCUUUGGAAAUGAAGACCCAGAGAUGCAGAGCUUAUGGUAGUUCAUAAAUCUUUAUGUUCUAUUAUCUUUCAUCUGCCAAUAAAGUUCAUUUUCAAUAAUGCCCACCAUUGCUGUGCCCAGAAUAACCACAGGC
This 800-nucleotide long non-coding RNA is filed under the name Homo sapiens (human). RNAcentral's name for it is "HSALNT0161575". The record is from RNAcentral. Lineage: Eukaryota; Metazoa; Chordata; Mammalia; Primates; Hominidae.